Molecule: unclassified non-coding RNA, 1335 nt
Filed under: Hevea brasiliensis (rubber tree)
Lineage: Eukaryota; Viridiplantae; Streptophyta; Magnoliopsida; Malpighiales; Euphorbiaceae
Source: RNAcentral
CUCUCAGCAUGCUCUCGCCAUCUUUGGGUGCAUUUAUACCGCUUAGGUCUGCCCCUUGCCAUAUAAGGCCCUGUAUCUUCAUUCUUCAGGAAUUAGCAAUAUCCAGGGGCUCAACAAGGCGCCGGUACCUGGUUCCUAUUUCAAUCCAUGCCUUCCGACCCUCGAAUUCGUCAGGGAGUUCAUUUCUUUUCAGCAUUUCGAUUAUUUCAUCCCAUAUACCUGCCAACUCAAGCCUCUUCACAUUAGCAUCGAAGUCUUCUUUGUCUUUUGAAAGCUUGAAGGCAUCAUAGUAGCCCACUUUAUGUUGACAUCUCUUUUUGUAUCCUUGUAGUUUUCCUAGUCCUCUCUUGAUAUCUUCCAUUUUUAUGUCAAUUGCUUUCUGGUUACUCUUUUUCUGCUUCUCCAACUCUCCAGCAGCACGGAGACACAAUCUUGCUCUAGUGCUCAGGCCUAGGUCAUUCAAGACCAUGUUAAUCUCCACCGUUACAUCAUUCGACAAUGGAAGUGCUUCCAGAUGAUUAUCAUCUAAACAGGUUACACUUUGCUUUUUUAAGCAUUCUUGCAGUUCAUGUUUGUAGUUCAAAUGAUCUUUUAGGCUAUUGAGGGCAACUGCUUCAGAGUUCGACUGAAAGGUAUAGAACAGUAGCUGCAAAACAGCAUCUGGAUUCUUUAUGGCCACAAGUUUCCCAUUUCCUGUGCAGAAGACAUAGGUACCUAAGGGUCUAUAAGGACUUAGCUCAACAAAGUUCGAUAGAGUAUCCAACAAAAGAUUUGUACUUCCCAUGAUCUUACAGGCGGCAUGGCUCACAACAGAUAAUGCAUUCCUCAUCACAGUUACAUAGAAGCCUGAGGCUUCACCCACAUUUUCUUGCAUGUAAAAUGGGGAUCUUGGGUUGAAGAAAUUUAGAAUUCUCUGCAGUUGCUGCUCAACAAAUGAGAGAGGCGUGAGUGAUACCCUUGGGACAAUGUCAUAUCUCACGACAAAAUUUAUGAAGUAGGGAGACCAGUUUUCACGCCUAAGCGCAUGGCUCACAAUGCGAUCUCCAACAAGAGGAGACCCAAAAGUCACGCAAAGCGGUGCCUCUUUGUUGGGGUCUGGUCUUAUGUACACUUCCAAGAACCAGAUAGUUGCAAGUAUAGCAAUAGGCCCCCCAAGAGAGUGCCCUGUAAACACAACUGGCUUCCUAUCUGUCACAGCUGUUCUCACCUCCUUCUUGAAUUGUGUAUUAGCCAAAAUUGCCCUGAAUCUAUUCAAAAAGGCUUCAUUAACAGUAGCAAUUUCAUUGAGACCUAUAUGUUUGAGACUAGGGAACAGCUCAAGAUCCACCUUCACUU